GAUGAAGAACGUAGCGAAACGCGAUAGUUAAUGUGAAUUGCAGAAUUCAGUGAAUCAUCGAAUCUUUGAACGCACAUUGCGCCCGCCAGUAUUCUGGCGGGCAUGCCUGUCUGAGCGUCAUUUCAACCCUCACGCCCCUAGGGCGUGGUGUUGGGGAUCGGCCAAAGCCCGCGAGGGACGGCCGGCCCCUAAAUCUAGUGGCGGACCCGUCGUGGCCUCCUCUGCGAAGUAGUGAUAUUCCGCAUCGGAGAGCGAUGAGCCCCUGCCGUUAAACCCCCAACUUUCCAAGGUUGACCUCAGAUCAGGUAGGAAUACCCGCUGAACUUAAGCAUAUCAAUAAGCGGAGGA
Molecule: unclassified non-coding RNA, 348 nt
Filed under: soil metagenome
Description: partial contains 5.8S ribosomal RNA, internal transcribed spacer 2, and large subunit ribosomal RNA
Rfam family: 5.8S ribosomal RNA (bases 1-120)
Source: RNAcentral